RNAcentral lists this ribosomal RNA (301 nucleotides) under uncultured bacterium. Its description in RNAcentral is "partial 16S ribosomal RNA". It matches the Rfam family "Bacterial small subunit ribosomal RNA", at positions 509 to 807 of the family's 1533-position model. The record is from RNAcentral.
CAGUAGCCACGGUAAAACGUAGGUGGCAAGCGUUGUCCGGAAUUAUUGGGCGUAAAGGGCUCGCAGGCGGUUUCUUAAGUCUGAUAUGAAAGCCCCCGGCUCAACCGGGGAGGGUCAUUGGAAACUGGGAAACUUGAGUGCAGAAGAGGAGAGUGGAAUUCCACGUGUAGCGGUGAAAUGCGUAGAGAUGUGGAGGAACACCAGUGGCGAAGGCGACUCUCUGGUCUGUAACUGACGCUGAGGAGCGAAAGCGUGGGGAGCGAACAGGAUUAGAUACCCCCGUAGUCCCUGUCUCUUAUAC